Molecule: ribosomal RNA, 854 nt
Filed under: uncultured bacterium
Lineage: Bacteria
Description: bacterial SSU rRNA
Rfam family: Bacterial small subunit ribosomal RNA
Source: RNAcentral
CGAGCGGAAGGCCCUUCGGGGUACUCGAGCGGCGGACGGCUGAGUAACGCGUGGGAACAUGCCCCAAAGUGAGGAAUAACUGCCCGAAAGGGUAGCUAAUGCCGCAUAUGAUCUUCGGAUUAAAGGAUUUAUCCGCUUUGGGAGUGGCCCGCGUACGAUUAGGUAGUUGGUGAGGUAAAGGCUCACCAAGCCCACGAUCGUUAACUGGUCUGAGAGGAUGAUCAGUCAGACUGGAACUGAGACACGGUCCAGACUCCUACGGGAGGCAGCAGUGAGGAAUCUUCCACAAUGGGCGAAAGCCUGAUGGAGCGACGCCGCGUGCAGGAUGAAGGCCUUCGGGUUGUAAACUGCUUUUAUAAGUGAAGAAUAUGACGGUAACUUAUGAAUAAGCACCGGCUAACUACGUGCCAGCAGCCGCGGUCAUACGUAGGGUGCAAGCAUUAUCCGGAGUGACUGGGCGUAAAGAGUUGCGUAGGUGGACAAGUAAGCGAAUAGUGAAAUGUGGCGGCUCAACCGUACACACUAUUAUUCGAACUGCUCGUCUCGAGAAUGGUAGAGGUAACUGGAAUUUCUAGUGUAGGAGUGAAAUCCGUAGAUAUUAGAAGGAACACCAAUGGCGUAGGCAGGUUACUGGACCAUUUCUGACACUAAGGCACGAAAGCGUGGGGAGCGAACCGGAUUAGAUACCCGGGUAGUCCACGCCGUANACUAUGGAUACUAGCUGUUGGANGUAUCGACCCCUUCAGUAGCGAAGCUAACGCGUUAAGUAUCCCGCCUGUGGAGUACGGUCGCAAGACUAAAACAUAAAGGAAUUGACGGGGACCCGCACAAGCGGUGGAGCGUGUUCUUUAAUU